RNAcentral lists this ribosomal RNA (466 nucleotides) under uncultured Staphylococcus sp. RNAcentral's name for it is "bacterial SSU rRNA". It matches the Rfam family "Bacterial small subunit ribosomal RNA", at positions 26 to 474 of the family's 1533-position model. The record is from RNAcentral. Lineage: Bacteria; Bacillati; Bacillota; Bacilli; Caryophanales; Staphylococcaceae.
AGGAUGAACGCUGGCGGCGUGCCUAAUACAUGCAAGUCGAGCGAACAGACGAGGAGCUUGCUCCUCUGACGUUAGCGGCGGACGGGUGAGUAACACGUGGAUAACCUACCUAUAAGACUGGGAUAACUUCGGGAAACCGGAGCUAAUACCGGAUAAUAUAUUGAACCGCAUGGUUCAAUAGUGAAAGACGGUUUUGCUGUCACUUAUAGAUGGAUCCGCGCCGCAUUAGCUAGUUGGUAAGGUAACGGCUUACCAAGGCAACGAUGCGUAGCCGACCUGAGAGGGUGAUCGGCCACACUGGAACUGAGACACGGUCCAGACUCCUACGGGAGGCAGCAGUAGGGAAUCUUCCGCAAUGGGCGAAAGCCUGACGGAGCAACGCCGCGUGAGUGAUGAAGGUCUUCGGAUCGUAAAACUCUGUUAUUAGGGAAGAACAAAUGUGUAAGUAACUAUGCACGUCUUGACG